Non-coding RNA from Parasteatoda tepidariorum (common house spider), 497 nucleotides. Lineage: Eukaryota; Metazoa; Arthropoda; Arachnida; Araneae; Theridiidae. The record is from RefSeq and is a predicted model, not a curated record.
GUUGGCCUGUAAACAAAUUUCAGUGAGAAAAUUUUAAUACUUGUUAAUAGGAAUACUUGUAUUUUAUUAGCUCUAAAAUUUGUAUUUAAAACUGUGUAUAUUUCUUAUAACAGUAUAAUGUUAUGAAAGACAUAUUUUAAGGCUUAAGUAUUUAAGCAAGUUUAUAUCGAGAAACGUUACAAGUGAUUUGUGUUAAUAAAGUUGAAUAACAUCCUUCUUCGGACAAUAAUAAUGUGAAUAUAUAUUUUGAAAAAGUCUAAUUCAUUUUCAUAAAAAGUAUCUUAUUUUAAAGUUCUAUCUUUUUCAAAUUGAAAGAGAGCCUCAUUUAUAACUGAGUGAAGAAAAACUAGCAAAAUAAGAAAGUAAUAUCUUCUCCCAAGUAAAAGUGGACAGGAUUCUUUCUGCGUAUGUAAUUUAGUAAAAGAUGUGCUUUUCUUAAGCUGGAUAAAGUGCCCAGUAUUUCACGACACUUGAUGUUUAUCUAAGAUAAUAGCCAA